RNAcentral lists this ribosomal RNA (540 nucleotides) under uncultured bacterium. RNAcentral's name for it is "bacterial SSU rRNA". It matches the Rfam family "Bacterial small subunit ribosomal RNA", at positions 777 to 1317 of the family's 1533-position model. The record is from RNAcentral.
AAUAGAUACCCAGGUAGUCCACGCCGUAAACGUUGGGUACUAGGUGUGGGGUCUUAUCAACGGAUUCCGUGCCGAAGCUAACGCAUUAAGUACCCCGCCUGGGGAGUACGGCCGCAAGGCUAAAACUCAAAGGAAUUGACGGGGGCCCGCACAAGCAGCGGAGCAUGUUGCUUAAUUCGAGGCAACGCGAAGAACCUUACCUGGGUUUGACAUGUAGGGAAAAGCCGUAGAGAUACGGUGUCCUUUUGGGCCCUACACAGGUGGUGCAUGGCUGUCGUCAACUCGUGUCGUGAGAUGUUGGGUUAAGUCCCGCAACGAGCGCAACCCUUGUCCUAUGUUGCCAGCACGUAAUGGUGGGGACUCGUAGGAGACUGCCGGGGUCAACUCGGAGGAAGGUGGGGACGACGUCAAGUCAUCAUGCCCCUUAUGUCCAGGGCUGCAAACAUGCUACAAUGGCCGGUACAGAGGGCUGCGAGACCGCGAGGUUGAGCGAAUCCCACAAAGCCGGUCUCAGUUCGGAUCGGAGUCUGCAACUCGACU